AUGUGGUAUUUUCUUCAAUAUGCAACUCCGUUGCAUAUUGAGCUCCACUUAACUUGUAGUGUUGUUUGUUGCACUUUGCCAUGCCAUGCUUCAUUAAAUCGGACAUGCAUCAUACUUGGUUGUGCAUCAUGCCAUGUUUAUGUGGUGGUUGUUUACUAUGUUGUUUGCUUCUUUUCGGUGUUGCCUCUUCGGGUUAGUUCCGAUAACGUCGCGUUUGUGAGGAUCCGUUUGACUUCUUCAUGGACUCAUUCUUCUUCCUUGCAGGACUCAGGCAAGAUGACCAUACCCUCAAAAUCACUUCUAUCUUUGCUUGCUAGAUGCUCGCUCUUUUGCUAUGCCUAUGCUGCGAUACCUAUCACUUGCUUUACAAUGCCUCCCAUAUUGCCAUGUCAAGCCUCUAACCCACCUUGUCCUAGCAAACCGUUGUUUGGCUAUGUUACCGCUUUGCUCAGCCCCUCUUAUAGCAUUGCUAUAUGCAGGUGA
RNAcentral lists this ribosomal RNA (483 nucleotides) under Triticum aestivum (bread wheat). RNAcentral's name for it is "partial small subunit ribosomal RNA". Lineage: Eukaryota; Viridiplantae; Streptophyta; Magnoliopsida; Poales; Poaceae. The record is from RNAcentral.